RNAcentral lists this ribosomal RNA (494 nucleotides) under uncultured bacterium. Its description in RNAcentral is "partial 16S ribosomal RNA". It matches the Rfam family "Bacterial small subunit ribosomal RNA", at positions 28 to 507 of the family's 1533-position model. The record is from RNAcentral.
GACGAACGCUGGCGGCGUGCUUAACACAUGCAAGUCGAACGGAAAGGCCUGCUUUCCCUUGUGGAUUGCGGGUACUCGAGUGGCGAACGGGUGAGUAACACGUGAGUGGUCUGCCCCCAACUUGGGUAUAAGCCUGGGAAACUGGGUCUAAUUCCCGAUAGGACUGCAGGGUGGUGCCUGUGGUGGAUAACGAUUUUCUAGUGGUUGGGGAUGAGCUCGCGGCCUAUCAGCUUGUUGGUGGGGUAAUGGCCUACCAAGGCGGCGACGGGUAGCCGGCCUGAGAGGGUGGACGGCCACAUUGGGACUGAGAUACGGCCCAGACUCCUACGGGAGGCAGCAGUGGGGAAUAUUGCACAAUGGGCGGAAGCCUGAUGCAGCGACGCCGCGUGGGGGAUGACGGCCUUCGGGUUGUAAACUCCUUUCGACCGCGAGGAAGCCACCUGGUUGGAAGGGUGGUGACGGUAGUGGUAGAAGAAGCACCGGCUAACUACGUG